CAAUAGCGUAUAUUUAAGUUGUUGCAGUUAAAGAGCUCGUAGUUGGAUUUCGGUUAAGAGCGACCGGUCCGCCGUUUGGUGUGCACUGGUUGGUUUUAACUUCCUGUAGAGGACGUGCUCUGGGUUUAACGACCUGGACUCGGAGUCUACGUGGUUACUUUGAAAAAAUUAGAGUGUUCAAAGCGGGCUUACGCUUGAAUAUUUCAGCAUGGAAUAACACUAUAGGACUCCUGUCCUAUUUCGUUGGUCUCGGGACGGGAGUAAUGAUUAAGAGGAACAGUUGGGGGCAUUCGUAUUUCAUUGUCAGAGGUGAAAUUCUUGGAUUUAUGAAAGACGAACUUCUGCGAAAGCAUUUGCCAAGGAUGUUUUCAUUA
Molecule: ribosomal RNA, 374 nt
Filed under: uncultured eukaryote
Lineage: Eukaryota
Description: partial 18S ribosomal RNA
Rfam family: Eukaryotic small subunit ribosomal RNA
Source: RNAcentral